CCUACGGGGGGCACCAGUGGGGUAUAUUGCACAAUGGGCGCAAGCCUGAUGCAGCCAUGCCGCGUGUAUGAAGAAGGCCUUCGGGUUGUAAAGUACUUUCAGCGGGGAGGAAGGCGAUAAGGUUAAUAACCUUGUCGAUCGACGUUACCCGCAGAAGAAGCACCGGCUAACUCCGUGCCAGCAGCCGCGGUAAUACGGAGGGUGCAAGCGUUAAUCGGAAUUACUGGGCGUAAAGCGCACGCAGGCGGUCUGUCAAGUCGGACGUGAAAUCCCCGGGCUCAACCUGGGAACUGCAUUCGAAACUGGCAGGCUGAGUCUUGUAGAGGGGGGUAGAAUUCCAGGUGUAGCGGUGAAAUGCGUAGAGAUCUGGAGGAAUACCGGUGGCGAAGGCGGCCCCCUGGACAAAGACUGACGCUCAGGUGCGAAAGCGUGGGGAGCAAGCAGGAUUAGAUACCCUCGUAGUC
Molecule: ribosomal RNA, 464 nt
Filed under: uncultured bacterium
Lineage: Bacteria
Description: bacterial SSU rRNA
Rfam family: Bacterial small subunit ribosomal RNA
Source: RNAcentral